This 444-nucleotide ribosomal RNA is filed under the name uncultured bacterium. Its description in RNAcentral is "bacterial SSU rRNA". It matches the Rfam family "Bacterial small subunit ribosomal RNA", at positions 355 to 796 of the family's 1533-position model. The record is from RNAcentral.
UGAGGAAUAUUGGUCAAUGGGCGCAAGCCUGAACCAGCCAUGCCGCGUGCAGGAUGACGGUCCUAUGGAUUGUAAACUGCUUUUGUACAGGAAGAAACACCUCUACGUGUAGAGGCUUGACGGUACUGUAAGAAUAAGGAUCGGCUAACUCCGUGCCAGCAGCCGCGGUAAUACGGAGGAUCCAAGCGUUAUCCGGAAUCAUUGGGUUUAAAGGGUCCGUAGGCGGUUUAGUAAGUCAGUGGUGAAAGCCCAUCGCUCAACGGUGGAACGGCCAUUGAUACUGCUAGACUUGAAUUAUUAGGAAGUAACUAGAAUAUGUAGUGUAGCGGUGAAAUGCUUAGAGAUUACAUGGAAUACCAAUUGCGAAGGCAGGUUACUACUAAUAUAUUGACGCUGAUGGACGAAAGCGUGGGGAGCGAACAGGAUUAGAUACCCGUGUAGUCC